Long non-coding RNA from Triticum dicoccoides, 1452 nucleotides. RefSeq lists it as uncharacterized. NCBI's taxonomy places the organism in Eukaryota, Viridiplantae, Streptophyta, Magnoliopsida, Poales, Poaceae. The transcript is spliced from 5 exons. The record is from RefSeq and is a predicted model, not a curated record.
CGACAUCUCCCGACGUUGGCCUAGGGCAAGACCUGGUGCGCCGCCGAGAGAGAGAGGAGGAGGAGGAGGAAGGGAGGGACAUCCCCCGUGUAUGCGUGGUGGGCGAGGGCGAUGUCUCUGGUCACACCGGUGCGUGACUCCUCGACGUGUAUCGGUGUAUGGCGUCCUGCCGGCGGGCGCGGAGCGGGGGGCGGUAGCGGCCGAGCGCACUCAACCUCGCGCUGAAUUUGUUCAACCUUGUACCUCAACGUCCUUUACGAUCUUCAGUAUUGCUUUGUCCGCGUCCACAAGCACAUUGUCGGGCAAGACGACGGGCGCGCUUCUGCACUCCCUUGACCUUGCCCGUGGCCCGAGAGUCUGGAAAGUCGCUAGGUGCAGCCGCCAUGCCCUCCUGCUGGCAAUUCCUUCAAUCGCUGCAGUCUGCACCUGAUCAUGAUAAGUAACCCAACCUUUUGAAUUGUGAUCGGAAGCAAUUGAUUUCUUUUGCUGAAAAUAUAUAUGAGGUGAGUCCAAAUUGAAUUCGUCUGCAAUCAGUUGAUUUGUCAACAUGGAGUAGUCACAUCUUACCAGUGCAUUCUCCAAUUCCCCAUUGUUGUCUCACUCUGUAAUCCCCUGCCCCCUAAUCUAAUCGUCUUUGCUUCAGUCAGUGUACCCUGGAUUUGAACGAAAUCAAAUACCCACCAUGUGCUUCUAAUUGACACGCUUGACACCUAACUUGCUGACUUGAACAUCUGAAUUGUGACGACGACUAAGGAAUUAAGUAUCUAGAUCAUUUGUAUCAUUUCUUAGAGAAUUAACCUAGCCAGCAUAAACACCAAAUAUUUAGAUUCAGCAGUGUGCUUAUGUUAAGUUCAACAUGGUUUAAAUUCACUAAAGUGCAGGUAGCUCUCAGCAUCAACAUCACAUGGGACAAGUAUAAAUGCAAUCUGAAGUCAAUAAUGUUAUUGUUCGCAUGCAACUUAAUGUUGUAUGCAUGGGGUAGAAGAAGCAAACAAGCGGUCUACUCCAUCUAGCACCUCAAAGAGCAACCGCAGUGCAGACCGCCCCUUGCAGGCUUCAGAUCACCCACAAGAACGUUGAGAAUUUGGGCGGACAUACUAUAGCUCUUACUACUUGAGUACUUGUUGGUCCGCUACAGAGUGGCUCCCGCUCCAAGUUGGGCACAAAACCCCAGGAGCAUGUUGAGGGCAUAAGGCAAGCAGAAUAACAAGAAAUCCGCCAAACAUUGUGUGUUCAACUUUGUUUUUGGUUCUGGGAAUUGCCUCUUCGUUGGCCUCCAGGUGAUGACUUCCUUAGAUAGGAACCGGUCUCCUUGUACUUUCAUAGAGAAGUGUUGUAAAUUGCAUUCUAUUAUAUGUUGCCACAACUUUUCCAGAGUUGUUUGUAUAUGUCAAUGCUUGACAUGAUGAGGUUUUGCUUAGUAAGCAUGCCUUUGUGUAACUCUUUCCUCAA